This 212-nucleotide long non-coding RNA is filed under the name Gossypium barbadense (sea-island cotton). RNAcentral describes it as "long non-coding RNA (GBAR_LNC012559)". The record is from RNAcentral. Lineage: Eukaryota; Viridiplantae; Streptophyta; Magnoliopsida; Malvales; Malvaceae.
GCCAUGGUUGUUAAUGAAGAGAUUUGAUAAUUUUCUUUAUGUUUUGAUGAAUAAAUGUUGAUGAGAGAUGUUUGAUCUAGUUAAAAAUUUAAUUUGAUAGUAUUUAUGUGUAAUAGCCGAACUUGGACUUGCUUAGUUACUUGAAUAAAUGUUUUGUAUUUAAAUGCUAGAAUGUGAGUGUUGCCGUUUAGAUGAUUUGAAAAGAAUAGAGU